CGUAGGUAAUCUACCCCAGAGUCUGGAAUAACCGGCCGAAAGGCUGGCUAAUACUGGAUAGGGCGACGGAAUCCGUAAUGGGUUUUCGGAAGGGAGCUUGUAAGAGCCCUCGCUUUGGGAUGAGCCUGCGUCUCAUUAGGUAGUUGGUGGGGUAAUGGCCUACCAAGCCUUUGAUGAGUAGCUGGUCUGAGAGGAUGAUCAGCCACACUGGAACUGAAACACGGUCCAG
RNAcentral lists this ribosomal RNA (229 nucleotides) under uncultured bacterium. RNAcentral's name for it is "partial 16S ribosomal RNA". It matches the Rfam family "Bacterial small subunit ribosomal RNA", at positions 116 to 334 of the family's 1533-position model. The record is from RNAcentral.